This 339-nucleotide ribosomal RNA is filed under the name Exanthemachrysis gayraliae. RNAcentral's name for it is "partial Bacterial large subunit ribosomal RNA". It matches the Rfam family "Bacterial large subunit ribosomal RNA", at positions 2151 to 2499 of the family's 2925-position model. Lineage: Eukaryota; Haptophyta; Pavlovophyceae; Pavlovales; Pavlovaceae. The record is from RNAcentral.
GAGACUUUGAAGCGGCGUCGCUAGGCGUUGUGGAGUCAUCCUUGAAAUACCACCCUUGAAUUGCGUGAUGUCUAAUCCGCUUCGGCGGAGACAAUGUUUGGUGGGUAGUUUGACUGGGGUGGUCGCCUCCAAAAGUGUAACGGAGGCUUUCAAAGGUACCCUCAGCAUGUUUGGUAAUCAUGCGUGGAGCGCAAUAGCAUAAGGGUGCUUGACUGUGAGACUAACAAGUCGAUCAGGGUCGAAAGACGGAUAUAGUGAUCCGGUGGUUCUGUAUGGAAGGGCCAUCGCUCAACGGAUAAAAGGUACGCCGGGGAUAACAGGCUGAUACUGCCCAAGAGU